This 335-nucleotide ribosomal RNA is filed under the name uncultured bacterium. Its description in RNAcentral is "bacterial SSU rRNA". It matches the Rfam family "Bacterial small subunit ribosomal RNA", at positions 152 to 521 of the family's 1533-position model. The record is from RNAcentral.
UUAAACAGGUGCUAAUACCGGAUAAGCCCUUCGGGGGAAAGAUUUAUUGCCGAAAGAUGGGCCCGCGUUGGAUUAGCUAGUUGGUGAGGUAAUGGCUCACCAAGGCAACGAUCCAUAGCUGGUCUGAGAGGAUGAUCAGCAUCACUGGGACUGAGACACGGCCCAGACUCCUACGGGAGGCAGCAGUGGGGAAUAUUGGACAAUGGGGGAAACCCUGAUCCAGCCAUGCCGCGUGAAUGAUGAAGGCCUUCGGGUUGUAAAGUUCUUUUGGUGGGGACGAUGAUGACGAUACCCACAGAAUAAGCUCCGGCUAACUUCGUGCCAGCAGCCGCGGU